This 489-nucleotide ribosomal RNA is filed under the name uncultured bacterium. RNAcentral describes it as "partial 16S ribosomal RNA". It matches the Rfam family "Bacterial small subunit ribosomal RNA", at positions 30 to 507 of the family's 1533-position model. The record is from RNAcentral.
AUUGAACGCUGGCGGCAGGCCUAACACAUGCAAGUCGAACGGUAACAGGAAGCAGCUUGCUGCUUCGCUGACGAGUGGCGGACGGGUGAGUAAUGUCUGGGAAGCUGCCUGAUGGAGGGGGAUAACUACUGGAAACGGUAGCUAAUACCGCAUAAUGUCGCAAGACCAAAGAGGGGGACCUUCGGGCCUCUUGCCAUCGGAUGUGCCCAGAUGGGAUUAGCUUGUUGGUGGGGUAACGGCUCACCAAGGCGACGAUCCCUAGCUGGUCUGAGAGGAUGACCAGCCACACUGGGACUGAGACACGGUCCAGACUCCUACGGGAGGCAGCAGUGGGGAAUAUUGCACAAUGGGCGCAAGCCUGAUGCAGCCAUGCCGCGUGUAUGAAGAAGGCCUUCGGGUUGUAAAGUACUUCAGCGGGGAGGAAGGGAGUAAAGUUAAUACCUUGGCUCAUUGACGUUACCCGCAGAAGAAGCACCGGCUAACUCCGUG